UACGGAGGAUCCGAGCGUUAUCCGGAUUUAUUGGGUUUAAAGGGUGCGCAGGCGGAAUAUUAAGUCGGCGGUGAAAGUUUGCAGCUUAACUGUAAAAUUGCCGUUGAAACUGGUUUUCUUGAGUGUAUAUGAAGUAGGCGGAAUUUGUAGUGUAGCGGUGAAAUGCAUAGAUAUUACAAGGAACUCCGAUUGCGAAGGCAGCUUACUAAAAUACAACUGACGCUCAGGCACGAAGGCGUGGGUAUCAAACAGGAUUAGAUACCCCGGUAGUCCCUGAG
This 278-nucleotide ribosomal RNA is filed under the name uncultured prokaryote. RNAcentral describes it as "partial 16S ribosomal RNA". It matches the Rfam family "Bacterial small subunit ribosomal RNA", at positions 524 to 801 of the family's 1533-position model. The record is from RNAcentral.